AGAUUGAACGCUGGCGGCAUGCCUUACACAUGCAAGUCGAACGCGAAAGCGGGGCAACCCGCAAGUAGAGUGGCGAACGGGUGAGUAAUACAUCGGAACGUGUCCCGUGGUGGGGGAUAACCCGGCGAAAGCCCGGGCUAAUACCGCAUAUGCUCUGAGGAGGAAAGUGGGGGACCUGCAAGGGCCUCACGCCAUGGGAGCGGCCGAUGUCCGAUUAGCGUUGUUGGUGGGGUAAAGCUUACCAAGGCGACGAUCGGUAGCUGGUCUGAGAGGAUGAUCAGCCACACGUGGACUGACGACACGGCCCAGACCUCCGUACGGGAGCCAGUCGAAGGUGGGGUAAUUUGGGACAAGUGGGGGCAACCCGUGACUCCGAGGCCAGUCGCCGCGUGGACGGGAAGAAGGGCCGUUCGGGUUAGUAACCGUCCGUUUUAAGACCCGGGAAAGUAAGUACGACGUACGGGG
Molecule: ribosomal RNA, 465 nt
Filed under: uncultured soil bacterium
Lineage: Bacteria
Description: bacterial SSU rRNA
Rfam family: Bacterial small subunit ribosomal RNA
Source: RNAcentral